UCAUCAUUUAAAAUUUAUUUAAAGUUAAUUAAAGGGGUUAUUAAGGAAAACUAAGGCAAAUUUAUACAUAUAAGGAGGGUAAACCAAAUGCUUAAAAAAAUCUAUUUUUUUUUUUAAGAAAAAUUAGGUUUUAAAUACUAUUUAAGCGAUCCUAAGGUAAACCUUAUUAGUUAAUUACUUCCCGAAGUAAAACAUUUCAGUAGGGAAAGGAAAGGAAAUCAACCGAGACUCCGAGAGUAACGGCGAGUGAAAUCGGACUAGCCUGAGACAAUAAUAUAACUUAUUAAUAUAAAUUGAAAAAAUAAAACUAGAUAAAUUCUAUCGUUUUACUAAAAAAGGUCAAAAACAUUAAGUCCUGUAGGUUUAUAUUAUAUUUUUAUAUUAUAGUAUAUUAUAAUUGACAAGGCUCUGCUUAUAGGUAGCAACCUAGAAAUGUAUUAUAAGUCUUUAAAUAAAGAUUAGUUGAUUACAAGAGUUUUAAAAUAAAAAUUAUUUAAUCUUUAUGUUUAUAUUACCUAGAGUCGCUAAGACAGUAUAAAUAUAAAAGAAGUAGUUUUUAAAGUUUUAAAGCUUUAUCUACAACUCUUUAUUUAUUUAAAAAGUACGAUGAGAGAAAACUUGUCGGAAUAAAGGGGAACCAUCCUCUAAGGCUAAGUAUUAUAAAUUUAGCGAUAGUGAAAAAGUACUGUGAAGGAAAAGUUUGAAAAGCAAGUAGUAUACAACAAAAUAAGUUUAUAUUUAUUAAUUUAAUUAUAAAUGCAUUGGUGAAAUAGAUCAUGAAUUAGUAACUCUAUAAGCAGUCGGAAUUCUAAAAUUUAGAAUAACGGCGUACCUUUUGCAUAAUGGGUCAGCAACUUAAUAAUAGUAGCAAGGUUAAAAGCCUUAGCGAAAGCGACUAGAUUAGCGAAAGCGACCUUGUAAUACAGUCUGAGCUAACGUGGGAAAGUUACUAUUAUUAGACCCGAAGCCAGGUGAUCUUACUUAGACCAGAUUAUAAUGGAUCGAACGGGUGAAUGUUGCAUAAUUCUCCGAAGAGUUUAAGUAAGCGGUGAAAUGCCAAUCUGACCUGGUGCUAGCUGGUUUUCUACGAAACAUAUUAAAGUAUGACAUCUACCUACCCUAUUAAUAGUAUUAGGAAAGUUUUCUUAUUUUUUUAAGAAGACUUAAAGAUUUAUGGAGGUACAGCAAAUAGUUUCCCAACAAAUGAAUUUAUUUGACUUCUUGGUUUAUUUAAUCAAGAGCAAUAUUCAAGCGUUCAGGUUGCGGGGACCUAGAAAAUCUUACCUUUGGAAGCGAAUCUCGGAAUUACAUAAAUUGAUGGUAGAUAUUCAGACUACUCAAGCUAAGUUGGGUAGUCAAGACGGAAACAGCCGAGAACACUGAUCAAGGUCCCAAAUGAUUGUUAAGUGAAAUUAAGGACGUAAGAAUAUCGUAUACAGCUGUGAAGUGAGCCUGGCAGUCGCUACUUAUAAUGAACGUUUGUAACAACGCAUCAGCAGUCUUUGAUAUAUUAAUAUAUUAAAUAUAGAUACUGGCGCCGAAAAUUUAACGGGUCUUAAACAAUCAACCGAUAUCGUGUUGGUUAACUUUAAUAGUUAUAAUUAUAUUGAAGUUAGCUUAGGUAGUAGAACAUUCAGUCAAACUAAUUAUAAUACAGUGUUUCAUUGUACUUUAGGUUACUGAAGAGAUAAUGCUGACAUGAGUAACGUAAAAAGAAGUUAAAAUACUUCUCGCCGAAUACGAAAGGGUUUCAAAUUUGAAAGGUUAAUCCACUUUGAUUUAAUGCGGCCUCUAAGGAAAAUAGCUAAAGCUAUAACUGAUGAGUAUAAAACAGAAAGUCUUUUAAUUAAAAUCUUCUGCUAAUAUUAAAAAAAGUAGUUGAUUAAGAUUGGUUAGACCAGGAAAAUAAUGUUUUAUUGUUGAUAUAAAUAUAACUAAUGUCAACAGCUACCGUACCCUAAACCGACACAGGUUCGUAGGUAGAGUAUACUAAGGCGCAGAGCUAAAAGUUGUUAAGGAACUCGGCAAGAUCACCUGCAUAAAUUUUGAUAGCCAUGCAUAAGUUUGACGAUAAGAGGUACCGCAUAAAUUUUAUUCUAUGCAAUAAAUAUUAAAGCGGUGGCACAGAAUCGGAGGCCCCGACUGUUUACUAAAAACACAUCACAGUGCAAUCAUUAAUGUGAUAGUAUACUGUGUGAAAUUUGCCCGAUGCCAUUAAUAUAAGAAAGGUCAUUGAUUUUUCUUGUUAAAGUUUUAAAUUUUAACAACAUAAUCUAUUAAAGUGACUAAUCGAAAAUCUGGUUAAUAGCGGUCUUAACUAUGAGGAUCCUAAGGUAGCAAAAUCAGUUGGCCAUUAAAUGUGGUCCGGUAUCAAUAAUGUAACGAUGGCCUCACUGUCUCUACAACUUGCUCAGUGAAAUUGAAUUACGCGUGCAGAUGCGCGUUGCCUCCAGGGGGACGGGAAGACCCUAUGCAGCUUUACUGUAGUUAGUUAUCAUGCGAAUCUAGAACAAUUCUAAUUAAGAGAGAAUAGGGAUGUUGAAUUUUUAUUAAAUCUUCUGGUUUAGGAUAAAUUGUGAAACAAAUAUUGGGAACCUUAAGGUUAGAAUUGGGUUUGUGUUUACCUUUUUAAAUAGAGGGAGAGUUGACUAAUUGGCAGUUUGACUGGGGCGGUCGUCUUUAAUAGAGUAGCAAAGUACAACCAAAUAUUUAUUAAAUUUUAUACUUCACUUUUGCCUUUGGUAAUUAGUGAAGCUAGCAAAUAAAUUAACUUGUUGUUUUUAACAACGACUAGUUAUAAAAUAAUUUUAAAUUUUCAUAAGGUAUAGCUAGAAAUUGAAUGGAGAUCAAUCAACCAGUGAAGGGUUGCGCAGAGUUUAAUGGCGGUAAGCAUGCUUAACUGAAAGACCCAAAAGUCGCACAGAUACGUAAGUAGGGCAUAGUGACCCCUCGCUAUAGUAUGGAAUAGACGAGGAUCAAUUGAUAAAAGUUACGCUAGGGAUAACAGGCUGAUCGCCGACGAGAGUACACAUUGUCUCGGCGGUUUGGCACCUCGAUGUCGACUCAUCCUAUCCUCCGGGGGAAGAAGCUUGGAAGGGUUCGGCUGUUCGCCGAUUAAAAGGGUACGUGAGUUGGGUUUAAUACGACGUGAGUCAGUAUGGUCCCUAUCUUCUGGAGGGAUAAUUAGUAAAAAGGGGCAGACCUUCUAGUACGAAAGGACCAAUAGGCUGUGUUUCUCUAGUGUACCAAUUGUUUUAAUUAUUAAAGUAGUGCUUCGCCCAACUAUUUUUGUUGUAAAUUAAAUAGUAGUAGUUGAAAGGCUAUUAUUACUUGAACAAGUAAAAAAAUAGUAAAUUGUAUAUUACAAUAGAAGCAACCACUGCUAAAGCAAAAUUAAAAAUGCUUUAGCAGUUGAUAAGAAAUGCAUAGUUGGGUAGCCACAAACAUAAUAGAUAAGUGCUGAAUGUCUAUCAAGCAAGAAUCUAACCCCUAGAUACUAAAAGGUUUAGUUCUAAACCAAAAUUGAGAAAUAGAACAUUUCUAGAUAGGCUGCGAAUGAAAGUACUGUAAGGUAUUUAGUUUAGUAGUACUAAUUUAU
Molecule: ribosomal RNA, 3598 nt
Filed under: Leucoagaricus naucinus
Lineage: Eukaryota; Fungi; Basidiomycota; Agaricomycetes; Agaricales; Agaricaceae
Description: large subunit ribosomal RNA
Rfam family: Bacterial large subunit ribosomal RNA
Source: RNAcentral